RNAcentral lists this ribosomal RNA (252 nucleotides) under uncultured bacterium. RNAcentral's name for it is "partial 16S ribosomal RNA". It matches the Rfam family "Bacterial small subunit ribosomal RNA", at positions 524 to 775 of the family's 1533-position model. The record is from RNAcentral.
UACAGAGGGUGCGAGCGUUGUUCGGAAUUAUUGGGCGUAAAGGGCGCGUAGGCGGUACGGUAAGUCACCUGUGAAACCUCUGGGCUUAACUCAGAGCCUGCAGGCGAAACUGCCGUGCUGGAGGGUGGGAGAGGUGCGUGGAAUUCCCGGUGUAGCGGUGAAAUGCGUAGAUAUCAGGAGGAACACCGGUGGUGUAGACGGCUUUCUGGACCAUAACUGACGCUGAGACACGAAAGCGUGGGUAGCAAACAG